GAGAGGGAGAGUGCGGCCGACGGUGGCACAUACCUUGUGCUGCUGAGGAAAGUCCUCCCACCAGCCAGACCACGCAGCCGCACGCAAGUGCGGGUGGCGAGAGUCACGGCAAUGACACAGAAACGACACGGCCCGCCGACAGUGAUGAAACGACUGAGCCUCCGCUGAUGGGGGCGAGAUGCGCGAAUUAUUCGCGCAAAUAACUCGUUGAACGUAGCGGCGGGAUACGAUGAAACGGUGAAUCCCUGCGGGUGCAAACCAGAAUAGGGCAGAUGGAUCGUCUGGCAUCCGCCCGGGUAUGGCGCGUAGCUGAAUGCCGCACAGAACAGAAGGAGGCUUACUCCUCCCACUC
Molecule: RNase P RNA, 352 nt
Filed under: Methanomicrobiales archaeon
Lineage: Archaea; Methanobacteriati; Methanobacteriota; Methanomicrobia; Methanomicrobiales
Description: RNase P RNA component
Rfam family: Archaeal RNase P
About the family: Ribonuclease P (RNase P) is a ubiquitous endoribonuclease, found in archaea, bacteria and eukarya as well as chloroplasts and mitochondria. Its best characterised activity is the generation of mature 5'-ends of tRNAs by cleaving the 5'-leader elements of precursor-tRNAs.
Source: RNAcentral